This 90-nucleotide transfer RNA is filed under the name Rickettsiales bacterium. RNAcentral's name for it is "tRNA-Ser". It matches the Rfam family "tRNA". From Rfam's summary of the family: Transfer RNA (tRNA) molecules are approximately 80 nucleotides in length. Their secondary structure includes four short double-helical elements and three loops (D, anti-codon, and T loops). Further hydrogen bonds mediate the characteristic L-shaped molecular structure. tRNAs have two regions of fundamental functional importance: the anti-codon, which is responsible for specific mRNA codon recognition, and the 3' end, to which the tRNAs corresponding amino acid is attached (by aminoacyl-tRNA synthetases). tRNAs cope with the degeneracy of the genetic code in two manners: having more than one tRNA (with a specific anti-codon) for a particular amino acid; and 'wobble' base-pairing, i.e. permitting non-standard base-pairing at the 3rd anti-codon position. The record is from RNAcentral. Lineage: Bacteria; Pseudomonadati; Pseudomonadota; Alphaproteobacteria; Rickettsiales.
GGAUGGGUGGCAGAGUGGUUGAAUGUACUUGACUCGAAAUCAAGCAUAGGGGCAACCCUAUCGGGGGUUCGAAUCCCCCCCCAUCCGCCA